GAGGGUAUAGCUCAGUGCAGAGUGUGUGCUUAGCAUGCACAAGGUCCUGGGUUCAAUCCCCAGUACCUCCA
Camelus ferus (Wild Bactrian camel) is the source of this 71-nucleotide transfer RNA. It matches the Rfam family "tRNA". From Rfam's summary of the family: Transfer RNA (tRNA) molecules are approximately 80 nucleotides in length. Their secondary structure includes four short double-helical elements and three loops (D, anti-codon, and T loops). Further hydrogen bonds mediate the characteristic L-shaped molecular structure. tRNAs have two regions of fundamental functional importance: the anti-codon, which is responsible for specific mRNA codon recognition, and the 3' end, to which the tRNAs corresponding amino acid is attached (by aminoacyl-tRNA synthetases). tRNAs cope with the degeneracy of the genetic code in two manners: having more than one tRNA (with a specific anti-codon) for a particular amino acid; and 'wobble' base-pairing, i.e. permitting non-standard base-pairing at the 3rd anti-codon position. The record is from Rfam. Lineage: Eukaryota; Metazoa; Chordata; Mammalia; Artiodactyla; Camelidae.